CCUACGGGGGGCUGCAGUGGGGAAUAUUGGACAAUGGGGGGAACCCUGAUCCAGCCAUGCCGCGUGUGUGAAGAAGGCCCUCGGGUUGUAAAGCACUUUCAGUGAGGAAGAACGCCUGGUGGUUAAUACCCAUCAGGAAAGACAUCACUCACAGAAGAAGCACCGGCUAACUCCGUGCCAGCAGCCGCGGUAAUACGGAGGGUGCGAGCGUUAAUCGGAAUUACUGGGCGUAAAGCGCGCGUAGGUGGCUUGAUAAGCCGGUUGUGAAAGCCCCGGGCUCAACCUGGGAACGGCAUCCGGAACUGUCAAGCUAGAGUGCAGGAGAGGAAGGUAGAAUUCCCGGUGUAGCGGUGAAAUGCGUAGAGGUCGGGAGGAAUACCAGUGGCGAAGGCGGCCUUCUGGACUGACACUGACACUGAGGUGCGAAAGCGUGGGUAGCAAACAGGAUUAGAUACCCGAGUAGUC
RNAcentral lists this ribosomal RNA (465 nucleotides) under Vreelandella stevensii. Its description in RNAcentral is "partial 16S ribosomal RNA". It matches the Rfam family "Bacterial small subunit ribosomal RNA", at positions 338 to 795 of the family's 1533-position model. The record is from RNAcentral. Lineage: Bacteria; Pseudomonadati; Pseudomonadota; Gammaproteobacteria; Oceanospirillales; Halomonadaceae.